GAUGAACGCUAGCGGCAGGCCUAACACAUGCAAGUCGAGGGGUAACGUGAGUGCUUGCACUUGACGACGACCGGCGCACGGGUGCGGAACGCGUAUGGAACCUACCUUUAUCAGGGAGAUAGCCCAUGGAAACGUGGAUUAAUAUCCCAUAGUAUUAUUUUAUCGCCUGAUAGAAUAAUUAAAGAAUUUCGGAUAGAGAUGGCCAUGCGUAUCAUUAGCUAGUAGGCGAGGUAACGGCUCACCUAGGCGACGAUGAUUAGGGGUCCUGAGAGGGAGACCCCCCACACUGGUACUGAGACACGGACCAGACUCCUACGGGAGGCAGCAGUGAGGAAUAUUGGGCAAUGGAGGCAACUCUGACCCAGCCAUGCCGCGUGCAGGAAGACGGCCCUAUGGGUUGUAAACUGCUUUUAUACAGGAAGAACACCACCCACGUGUGGGUGACUGACGGUACUGUAAGAAUAAGGACCGGCUAACUCCGUG
This 483-nucleotide ribosomal RNA is filed under the name uncultured bacterium. RNAcentral's name for it is "bacterial SSU rRNA". It matches the Rfam family "Bacterial small subunit ribosomal RNA", at positions 28 to 507 of the family's 1533-position model. The record is from RNAcentral.